This 17-nucleotide ribosomal RNA is filed under the name Yersinia pestis PY-19. Its description in RNAcentral is "partial 23S ribosomal RNA". The record is from RNAcentral. RNAcentral also lists the same sequence under 4 other names. Lineage: Bacteria; Pseudomonadati; Pseudomonadota; Gammaproteobacteria; Enterobacterales; Yersiniaceae.
AUAUUGCUCUUUAACAA